Molecule: small nucleolar RNA, 74 nt
Filed under: Accipiter nisus (Eurasian sparrowhawk)
Lineage: Eukaryota; Metazoa; Chordata; Aves; Accipitriformes; Accipitridae
Description: Small nucleolar RNA U3 (ENSANIG00000007410.1)
Rfam family: Small nucleolar RNA U3
About the family: Small nucleolar RNAs (snoRNAs) are involved in the processing and modification of rRNA in the nucleolus. There are two main classes of snoRNAs: the box C/D class, and the box H/ACA class. U3 snoRNA is a member of the box C/D class.
Source: Rfam by way of RNAcentral
GCAGGAGCCGCUCGCCAUUGAUGACCGUUCCCGGUCCUUCUGGUCCGGGAGGGAGAGAGCACAGGCUGAGUGGU